GAUGAAUGCUGGCGGCGUGCCUAACACAUGCAAGUCGAGCGGCAGCGAGGGGUGCUUGCACCCUGUCGGCGAGCGGCGAACGGCUGAGUAACGCGUAGGAAUUUGCCCCAAAGUGAGGAAUAACUGCCCGAAAGGGUAGCUAAUGCCGCAUAGGGUCUUCGGAUUAAAGGAUUUAUCCGCUUUUGGAGAAGCCUGCGUUGGAUUAGGUUGUUGGUAGGGUAAUGGCCUACCAAGCCGACGAGCCAUAGCUGGUCUGAGAGGAUGAUCAGCCAGACUGGAACUGAGACACGGUCCAGACUCCUACGGGAGGCAGCAGUGGGGAAUCUUCCACAAUGGGCGAAAGCCUGAUGGAGCAACGCCGCGUGAAUGAUGAAGGCCUUCGGGUUGUAAACUUCUUUUAUGAGUGAAGAAUAUGACGGUAACUCAUGAAUAAGCACCGGCUAACUACGUG
This 451-nucleotide ribosomal RNA is filed under the name uncultured bacterium. RNAcentral's name for it is "partial 16S ribosomal RNA". It matches the Rfam family "Bacterial small subunit ribosomal RNA", at positions 28 to 507 of the family's 1533-position model. The record is from RNAcentral.